UAUGAUCCUCAUGGGUAAUUGCUAAGACUUAAAACCUUUUUAUUGCAGUAAUCACAUUGACAAAGUUGGUGAAACAUUUUGUGGGAUUGGCAUCUGGCAGGGCUCUAGAAGUUGCACGAGAGUGCUUCAAUUCUCAUUCUAGAAGCAAAUAUUCAUUUGAAAGAAGUCCAGGAUGAAGGCGAGGAAGAUGAGGAUGAUGGAAUGGAAGAUGUUGAUGAAAGUGAAUGUGAUGAUGAGAAUGAGGAUGUAAGUUCCCCCCCAGCCCGGGCGGCCGCCGCAUCAGAGUGAUUACAUUGACAAUGUGGAAAUAUUUUGAAGACUGGAAGUGUCUGCCUGUGUGGUGAAUGGGCCAAUGAAUUAUUGUUGAUUUGGUUAUUUUAGGAUUCUGAAGAGGAUGAUCAUGAAGAAACAGAGGAAGAAUUUCUGGAGAGAUACGCACUGGUAGCUCGCAAGUUUGAGAGUUAAACGAUCGAAGAAGAUGAGGGUGAUGUAGAUGAUGAGACCCAUAAAAUUGAACUAGGUAAACCUUGUCCUCUUUCCUUUUGUUGCAAAUUGAAGAAUGA
Molecule: long non-coding RNA, 563 nt
Filed under: Amborella trichopoda
Lineage: Eukaryota; Viridiplantae; Streptophyta; Magnoliopsida; Amborellales; Amborellaceae
Description: long non-coding RNA (ATRI_LNC003446)
Source: RNAcentral